GUGGAGCAUGUGGCUUAAUUUGACUCAACGCGGGGAAUCUUACUAGGUCAGGACCAUCGAGUCGUUCGCGACUCGUACGUAUGAAUGUCGUAGUGUCGCUACUACACAAUUGUUGGAUGAGUGGUGCAUGGCCGUUCUUAGUUCGUGAUGCAAUUUGUCUACUUAAUUGUUGGUUGCGUAUGUUUCAUCGCAUCGUAACCGUAACGAACGAGACCGUGUUGUGUACGUAGCUACUCGCUGCGACAUUCGUACAUCGACAGAACAACCGCAAACUUGUUAGGAAGGACGCGGCAAUAACAGGUCUGUGAUGCCCUCAGAUGUUCUAGGCCGCACACGUGCUACAAUCUGAUUGAUUCCGUAUACGUAUCACGUGUGUGUAAGAUUCACCGCUGCGAGUCGAACCAACGCUACGACGGUUGGGAUCACCGUUUGUAAUUAUUCGGUAUCACAACUAGGAAUGCCUCGUACGGUGCAGUUCAACAGAUUCCCUGGAAUCCGUCCCUGCCCUUUGUACACACCGCCCGUCGCUCUUACCGAUGGUGGUGGGUUCGAGUUGCGAGGAAUCUCUAUGUAUAUACUCUAUACGGGGUGAAUCGCUACGAGAACCCACUGCUAAAGGAAAGAGAAGUCGUAACAAGGCAUCG
This 644-nucleotide ribosomal RNA is filed under the name Amphistegina lessonii. Its description in RNAcentral is "SSU rRNA". It matches the Rfam family "Eukaryotic small subunit ribosomal RNA", at positions 1176 to 1804 of the family's 1831-position model. Lineage: Eukaryota; Foraminifera; Rotaliida; Amphisteginidae. The record is from RNAcentral.